UUAUUAAUAUUAUAAAUAGUAGUAGUAAUUUAUAUGCAGGAAUAAAUUACAUCAAUUCAUUUUGUUUUAUUGUAUUUUUAUAAAUUAAAAGUCAGUUGACUAAAACACUGCGGAUAAUAAAAACAUGAAUUGCAUUUAUAAGAUCAAAAAUCGUCCGUUUGAAUUGAUUUAAAUUCUAAAGUACAUCAUAACACCAAAAGCCGCAAUACAAAGAGAGAGAAAGAGAGAAUACUAAACCCCAUUUCGUCAUCUUCAGUGAAACUAAAACAAAGUGUUUUUGGAGCCCGUCCCAGAACCAGAUGGCUCAGUUGGUGCAGAAAUAUAAUUAAAACAUAUCGCCUUAAAAUUAAACAUUAUCUCUCACGGGACAUUAAAAACAUAUUUGGAAGUUAACAUGGCCGUAAGCAAAUAUCAAAAGUGUACAUCAGCAUCAUGUAAAUACAAAAAUAAAAACAAAUUUUUACAUAUUAACUACAUGGACUUGAAUAGUGAAUUAUAUUUUUGGCAAUACACGCCGUCUGAGUCUUACUGUUCCUGUGAAUAAUGUUAAGAUAUCUUAUAAUGUUGUAACUUUCUCUCAUGUCUUUUUGCUGUUAAUCUGCUGAUAAAUCUGCUCCGUCACUUCACACAUCUUCUUCACAAAAUGCUGACAGGCUCAAAAAUAACUCCAGCUAUUUGUUGCUAGGCAGACAGUGAGCAGAAGUAUAUUUGCCCCUGUUGAUAGAUGCAGGGUAAGAUAAGCACAAUGAGAGCAG
Molecule: long non-coding RNA, 755 nt
Organism: Notothenia coriiceps (black rockcod)
Lineage: Eukaryota; Metazoa; Chordata; Actinopteri; Perciformes; Nototheniidae
Exons: 2
Source: RefSeq, a predicted model, not a curated record